Molecule: ribosomal RNA, 384 nt
Filed under: uncultured bacterium
Lineage: Bacteria
Description: bacterial SSU rRNA
Rfam family: Bacterial small subunit ribosomal RNA
Source: RNAcentral
GAUGAACGCUAGCGGCAGGCCUAAUACAUGCAAGUCGAACGGAUAUAUGUUUUUCGGAAUAUAUAUUAGUGGCGCACGGGUGAGUAACACGUACAUAACUUGCCCUCAAGCGGGGGAUAGCCUUGGGAAACUGAGAGUAAUACCCCAUAGAAUUAUUGGACGGCAUCGUUUGAUAAUUAAAACUACGGUGUUUGGGGAUAGAUGUGCGUCUGAUUAGCUAGUUGGUGAGGUAACUGCUCACCAAGGCGACGAUCAGUAGGGGCGUGAGAGCGUGGCCCCCCACACGGGUACGUGAGACACGGACCGACUCCUACGGGAGGCAGCAGUAAGGAAUAUUGGUUCAAUGGAGGGAACUACUGAACCAGCCACUGCCGCGUGAAGGAA